Molecule: long non-coding RNA, 2253 nt
Organism: Spinacia oleracea (spinach)
Lineage: Eukaryota; Viridiplantae; Streptophyta; Magnoliopsida; Caryophyllales; Amaranthaceae
Exons: 6
Source: RefSeq, a predicted model, not a curated record
GUGCAACGAUCGUAGUUUUGCUGGAAAAACAGUUUUAUUUGAUUCGAUUUGUUAAGUAUUUGAUAGAUUCAUAUCUCUUUUGUAGAUGUCGUAUGACGUUUUAUCAAUGAAUUAAUUUUAGUUUCAAAAAAUAAAAAUAGUAUUUUCAAGAUUUAUUAAUUAUGCAAAAACUUUAGAAACAAAAUUAUAUCACUCAAAUAUAUUGAAGUAUAAUUUUUUUAAAAUAUAAUUUUAGAAUAUUCGUAAAUGUACGAACCCUAAUCUUAUUUUUAAAUUACAAUUUGAUGGAGUAUAUAUUUUGUCAAACAUAUUUUCCAAUAACAAAAAGAAUAAAAAAGUAUGGAGAUUUCUGAUGUUGUAUUGCUGCCUGCUCGAAUCAACAUCCCCAGAGGGACUUUUUAAAAUCGUAAUCAAUUAUUCCCUCCAGAAAGUCCCGCAGUACUUGAAUAUGGAAAGUACAAUUAGGUUUUAUUUUUUCCCUAAAGACCUAAUUGUAGUUUUCAUAUUCAGAAGCAGCGAUUUCAUUGCGGACUUCAAAACCGAUGGAGAUUUUCUCUUCACAUUGUGCGACGCCUUGAACAUCUCAUACACAAAUUGAAUCUCGCCUGCGCAAAUUGAACUCCGCCUGCCGGAAUUGAACGUCAUCACCUGCGUAAAUUGAACAUCGCCUGCCGGAAUUGAACCUCAUCUUUACGAAGCUGCCAUAUCAUAAAUUAGGGCCAGGGCCUCCCAGCCAUGGUGUUCUUCGCUGUCCUGACCCCUCACGAGUUCAAAUUUGGGUCUGCUGACUACCAGUGAUUGUACAGGGUAGAAGGGAAGAAAGGUGAACAGAACAAACCCAUAGUAGGUUAGCUGCCUUGUAUUUUCUGCUGGAAUAAUUUUUCAGCCAAGCGAAAUCGGCCAUUCUUGCAUUUGAAAGUUUAUAUUUAUAGUUUUUAUGGUCUUUGUGGGUCAAUGAUGGAACAUUUCCACCAGCAAUGAGGCAACAUCUCUUGGUACUAGACUUCAUCCUAGACACUUGAAUAACCUUUAUCGUAGAAGGAUCUCCUAGUGUAAAAGGUUUCUUUCUUGAUUUUCACUUGUGUUGGGGUCUAUCAAAAACGUUUAUUUGCAGCAUUCCUUGUUUAACCAUCUGGUGAAGAGUUGGGUAGGGGGGGGGGGGGGGGGCGUGUCUUUUAGAGUUAAGUUUAUGAGAUUUUGUCUCAAGUUAUUGAAGCAGAAACGAUGAUUAAUUACCUAGGGAAUAACAUGAUAGAACAUGGGUUUUGAUUCCAGUAACUUAAAAACGUUUACAGUGCAGCACGAUUGAACUUCUGUUUAAGUUUUCAUUUUAUUUUCUCCAAGCUACUCUUGUUUAUUUGUCUAAUUGUUUUGUUUUCCUGGAUGAUCGGGUCUGUCUACUUUCCUGCAUCACAUUUUGUGCACAGUUGGAGAUGCAUGUCUGCACUAUUUUUUUAUUGUGGUUGACGAUGAUUUCCUGAUCAUCUAAUACAUUUUCAUCAUUUUUUGUAUACAAUUAUGUUUUACGACCAUCAUGUAAAGCUAAGCUUCUCACUUGAGUUGUGACUGGAGCUUGAAAUAAUUUUCCCCUCCUCAACCCCUUAAUUGAUCGAAAAGUUGCAUUUGUGCCUCCUCGCUUCUUACUACAGAUUACCGACAGCUGCUAACCACUGCAAUCUUUUCCUAAGUUAUUAAAACCAAGAUCGAACAAGGAAAAAUAAGCAAAACAUGGAACGAAAGAAGUCGGAACUAUUGAAGCAACCCUAGCUUACAGCUUUACGAGAAGAACGUCAACGAAAAAAGGCGUUAAAGGAUGAUAAAAACAACAGUCAUUUCCAUGGAGGACGAGGACGAGGACGAGGACGAGGACGAGGACGAGGACGAGGAGUGAUGAAGUGCAAACUAAUGAAGAGUAGUAUGACUUUGGUCGACUUUAUUGAGGUGAUGCUGCCUUGGUUGUUGAUUGGUGUUUCCAUGUCUCCACAAUCACAUAUCCGCUUCUUAUUCUCCUCCUUGUCGGAGCAAUCACUGUUGCUGUUGCAGUUGUUGUUGCCGUGCAUUGUUAUUGUUGGUUUUAGUUGCCGGACUCCUGUGUUGUUGUUUCUCUGCCUCUCGGUUUUCUCUUAAGGGUAUAACUCUUGCCCAACUCUUCUUUAUCAAUUAGUUUAUCCUAAGCAUAUUAUAAUAGUUUAUGGAAGUAAAUCGUCAUUGAUUUAUUAUUUUGAUUUUAUAGAAAUGUUUUUUAUUAUUGAA